GGAACCCUCUACAUUUUCUACUGGGAAUUUCCGAAGCAUAAAACUUGCUGGACCAUGAAAGGCCUCCUAUCAGUUUUGCCGUUUGAAAAGAAGUGUGCAGUGGCUCCUUCCCUUGCCUUCGCGCAGCACCGUGCACAACGGGAACCUUGAUGGUCUGGCACUGCAGAACAAAAAUACGUGUAGAUUGGAGAGGAGAAUGGAGAGGAGAAACGUAAAAAGUGAUAAAGAGGGCUCCCACCUCCUACAUCUUCUGCUCUCUUCUUUGUGGAAGAUUCCCAUGACUGUGGGACCUCUCAGCAUGCUACAGAUCACUCCCACAAAACUUAGCACUUCAGCCCCAGACCCUGGUCGCUCUGAGAGGGCAUGGCCAGCCCACUGCUUUGCUCUGACCCAGCUCCUGCAAGUCAUGGCUGCAUGCACGAUACCGCCUCUGAUC
This 436-nucleotide long non-coding RNA is filed under the name Struthio camelus australis. Its description in RNAcentral is "lncRNA (ENSSCUG00000002837.1)". Lineage: Eukaryota; Metazoa; Chordata; Aves; Struthioniformes; Struthionidae. The record is from RNAcentral.